AAAAACAUGUCUUUUUGAAAAUAAUUUAAAGUCUAAUCUGCCCACUGAUGAAAAUUAAAGGGCUGCAGUAUUUUGACUGUACAAAGGUAGCAUAAUCAUUAGUUUUUUAAUUGAAAACUUGUAUGAAAGAUUUAAUGAAAUAUAAACUGUCUCAUAUUUAUUGUUAAAAAUUUAUUUUUUAGUUAAAAAGCUAAAAUAUUUUUAAAAGACGAGAAGACCCUAUAGAGUUUUAUAUUUAUUUUUAUUAAAAAAUUAUAUAAAAAUUAAUAUUAAAAUAAAAUAAAAUAUUAUGUUGGGGUGAUAGAAAAAUUAAAUUAACUUUUUUUAAAAUUUAAUACUAAUAAGUAAUUGAAUGAUCCAUAAAUAAUGAUUAAAAGAAAAAAUUACCUUAGGGAUAACAGCGUAAUAUUUUUUUUUAGUACAAAUAAAAAAAAAAGUUUGCGACCUCGAUGUUGGAUUAAGAUAAAAUUUAAAUGCAAAAGUUUAAAAUUUUGAUCUGUUCGAUCAUUAAAAUCUUACAUGAUCU
This 526-nucleotide ribosomal RNA is filed under the name Ypthima baldus B SG-2012. RNAcentral describes it as "partial 16S ribosomal RNA". The stretch from base 394 to 526 matches the Rfam family "Archaeal large subunit ribosomal RNA", at positions 2542 to 2675 of the family's 2987-position model. The record is from RNAcentral. Lineage: Eukaryota; Metazoa; Arthropoda; Insecta; Lepidoptera; Nymphalidae.